This 453-nucleotide long non-coding RNA is filed under the name Dromaius novaehollandiae (emu). Its description in RNAcentral is "lncRNA (ENSDNVG00000018921.1)". Lineage: Eukaryota; Metazoa; Chordata; Aves; Casuariiformes; Dromaiidae. The record is from RNAcentral.
GCACAUAACUCAUACUCAGUCUAAUACUAAAUCUAGCUGGACUCUUAGCUCUUCCCUGUAAAGCAGCAAAAAAAGAAACAAUGAUAUGGGAGUGAGACGUAGCACAAAGAAAUGAAGAGGUGAACAAUAAACACAAGCAAAUUGUGGAGACAGACCUCAAUAUCUGAAUAUUCAGCAAGAUGUGGAAAGAGGAGACAAAUAAACUGAAGAUAUCCAGUGAGUUUUAUUUCUUGCCCAGGAGGAGAACUCUGUAAAAGCUGGGGAAAGAAGCCAGGUCUCUCAGCUUCUAGCCUCCUACUCUGAUCAUAAGGUCAGUCUCARUGUUAAAUGUUAUUAAUUUGAAAGUAUUACUACCAAGUGCAAGUCUUAUUUAAAACUUUUAAAAAUUAAAUGAAUGCUUUUUACGCUUGUUUUUUUUCUUUUUAAGUGAGCCAUUUUAAACAAUAGAAUCCA